Molecule: long non-coding RNA, 305 nt
Organism: Phasianus colchicus (ring-necked pheasant)
Lineage: Eukaryota; Metazoa; Chordata; Aves; Galliformes; Phasianidae
Source: RefSeq, a predicted model, not a curated record
GAGUUCACUUUCAUGCCUUUAGAAGUGAGAGCUGUUUUGUUGUGCCUCCUUCCUAAGGAGAAACAGGAUUGCACCCUGAUGGUAGCAUCUUGCAGAGAGGAUGGAUGGAGAAAGCAAUACCUUCACUGGAUGCUGAUGUGAUGCUUUCUGCUCUCUGUACAGACAGCAUCUCCAGCUCUUCUGAAGCAACUCGUGACCCUGCAGCCACAGCAGAGCUGUUGUUUAUUCACAGCAGAUGGGAUCUGUGUUCAGUGGAUGUUUGCAGGGCUGCUUCCAGGGCUGAAAACCCCCCUUAUUUGCUUGCU